Long non-coding RNA from Corythoichthys intestinalis (scribbled pipefish), 963 nucleotides. RefSeq lists it as uncharacterized. Lineage: Eukaryota; Metazoa; Chordata; Actinopteri; Syngnathiformes; Syngnathidae. The record is from RefSeq and is a predicted model, not a curated record. The transcript is spliced from 3 exons.
CUUUUUCAAGCAUUAGUUUCAGUCGUGUCCGACCAGAGACAACACCGCUUCCUUUUUCGGACCGUGAUAUUCAAGAUGAAAGCCACGUCGAAGUCCUGCGCACCAACUUGACUAAUUAAUUCAAUUCAAGAAAUACAAAUGAAUGCAGCAGCUUUUUACGCAAAGCUAGCACACCGGGCCAAACCACCUCCUGUUGAGAGUGCUCUCAGUGAGAGUGAGGGCAGCGAUGAGGAGUACAAUCCUAAUAAAGCAAGUGAAGGUGAUGAAAGCAGCAGCAAUGACUCUACAGUGGACAUUAGCAGCAGUGAGGAAGAUGAUGAUGAUCCGCCUCAUCCACCUCCAACCACCAGUGCUGCACCUGCAAGAGCUACAUCAAGGGCAGAUUGAGCCUAAAGCAAUAUAUCAAAAAAAAAGCCAUACAAAUUGGGAUACAAGAUUUUUGUACUGUGCGACACAAGAGGUCUGGUGUACUCAUUUGACAUAUUCACAGGGAAAAUAGAUCCGGUACCAGGCCAACCAGACAUAGGAGCCAGUGCUAACAUUGUGCUCAAGCUUGCACAAGUCAUUCAUCCUGCUGUUCUUUGAUAACUGGUUCUCAUCUGUAGAUCUGUUUGUUGCUCUUGCAAAAAAGGGCAUACCUGCACUUGGGACCGUGCAGCACAAUCGCCUGCGUGGGUGCUGUUUCAGUGCAGACUCAUAGAUGAAGAAGAAGCGAAGAGGGACAUUUGAAGAGCAAGAGGCUCUUGUGGACAAUGUCUGCAUAAGAGCAGUCAAAUGGUUUGACAAUAGAGGGGUGAUUGUUGCCAGCACAUUUGCCAGUGCCCUGCCUGUUAUGAUAAAAAUCAUCUUUUAUUCAUUUAUUUACAUCAUAUGUCUUCUAGUCUGAUUAAAAAUGUGAUGUACAUCUGUGUUUAAACAAAAACAAUAAUUGUUUUUCAGAAUUUCACAAGCAGUGAAAAAAGA